RNA transcript from Gossypium raimondii (Peruvian cotton), 2137 nucleotides. RefSeq lists it as uncharacterized. The record is from RefSeq and is a predicted model, not a curated record. The transcript is spliced from 6 exons. NCBI's taxonomy places the organism in Eukaryota, Viridiplantae, Streptophyta, Magnoliopsida, Malvales, Malvaceae.
AAAGGAAUUGCGUGUAGGGGAAACACCUUGAGCCCACCGUCCAUUUCCCACCAGUUUGCGCCCCAUUGUUCUCUUCAGAUUCUGCCUCGACGAUUUCGUUUUCAUAUUUCAACAAUUAUGCCAGGUUUGCGCCCUUGAAUUUCCUUCACUCUUUUGUUACUUGCUACAAACUGCAAAACCCAACAUGCCUUGUUGUAUUUCUUUUGAAGAAAAAGAUGAUCAAGGCUGGUUAAUGCCAAAACGAAGAUGAACUUUUAUAGUUUAUUUGUUUUUCUUGCAAAAAAGGUAUGACAGUCUCGUGCUUACUUUCUUCCUAUUGGGUAUAUUUGGUGAAAAAAAAUGGUUGGAAUUGAAUAGAACUAAUAUUUGGUUACUAGGAAGGUUGAGUUGGAAUGAAGAGUGAAUUUUUUUAUUAGUGGACGUAAUUUGGGAGUGCUAGGGAAAAGACUCAGAUACCUGUUGUUGAAUUAUAGCAGGUGAAUUGCUAAUGGAGACUUCAAUAUCUAGUUCAAUUGAAACCGGCUUAGUUUAUGUAUCUGAACUUGGGAAACGAGAUUUUUUAUGUGACUGGAUGCCUGGAAAUGGAAAUUGGCAGGUAUCUCCUAAAUUGGAUGAUACUUGUCAGAGUGGAUGCAAAGAGGCUGAGUAUUCAUGCCCUCCUUUGCCAAGAUCUGGUUCUCAACAGUCAUCGAUGAGUGUUCUGUCUGAAAUUCCUGUGCCUGCUUUUGUUUUCAGUAGGAGGAAGAAACGGCAAGGCAGCAGCGGCAUUGGUUCUGCUUCUGUUGCCAACUGUUGUGCGGAGGCCCCAAUGAAUUCAAAGAGAAGUGGGGCUUGUCUUUCUGUUGUCAGCUCUGAUGCUUUUUCAGUGGCAACAUUGGAGCGAAUUGAAGUUUCUCAUGGUGAACAUAGAAAUGUAGCUGUUGGAGAUACCGUGAUGCCUCUUGCAUGCAAUAGAGAGCCUCACGGUUUAAAGUAUGAAUCUGCUAAUGGAUGUUCUGCCAUGGACGACCGUAGUUCUGAUGAUGCACAUAAAACUGUUAUGCUGAAAUCCAUAGAUGUAGACAGUAUAAAUGAUAGUUGUUCAUCAUCGAAGUCAAAUAUGGAUACUUUAUUAGCUUCCACGAAAAGUGAGAUGGAUGAAAAUGGUGAGUGCACCUCCUCUAGUGUAAUAGGUGCUGAAGUUUUAAGGGAAGAUCUAUAUGAAAAAGGUAUGUGCCUCCCUGUACUUCGGAAGCCGGAGAAUGUUGAGGAAGUUGGGCCAUCUAGGGCUCGUGCUAUUGAGGAAAUUGGUACUAUCGGGGUUAGUAGGUGUUCUAGGUUAUGCAAAAUUUGUGACCGUUUGGGAACAACACAAAAGAUGCUGAUUUGUGAUAAUUGUGAAGAGGCAUUUCAUGUACGUUGCUGCAGACCGAAGAUAAAGAAACCACCUGUUGAUGAGUGGUAUUGUAUUUCGUGUAUGAAACAGAAGCGAAUAGUGCUCAAGGAGACUCUUGCAAGAAGGUCUUCUAGUAUCACUGGUGGAAUGGGCAAAGAAAGAGAUGGAUCAUCUAAAUGGGAAGUCAGUCCAAUAGAAUUAAUGUUGAGAGAUGCUGAGCCUUAUACAACUAGCGUUCGAAUUGGCAAGGGUUUUCAAGCAGAAGUUCCUGACUGGUCUGGUCCAAUUGAUAUUGAUGUUGAUACCAUUGGCGAACCCCUAAACUUGGAUCCUUCAGAAUAUACUUAUUACCACGAAAAGAAUUCAAACAAGUCAUCUAAAUUAAGCUCAAAAGGGAACUGGCUUCAAUGCCAAGAAUUUGUAGAAGGCAAAGGAGGCAGUAAAGGAACCAUCUGUGGAAAGUGGCGCAGCAUAGCACAUUUCUUGUCAGAUGAUUGGUCAAUGCUGUACACUUAAGAUAUUGUUGAUAAUGAUAAUUGUGGAUAAAGAAGAUGAAAUUGUUCUGAAGAGCUAGAGGAAUUUGGUUCAAACUACAUACUAGGCAUUACAUAGAUGAGCUAUUGGGCUCCGCUUUUCGAAGUCCAAACUGAUGAUUGGGAGUGCUUCUGCUCUGUGCAAUGGGAUCCAUCCCAUGCUGAUUGUUCUGUACCUCAGGAGCUGGAAACCGAUCAAGUUUUGAAGCAACUCAAGUAUAUUGAGUUG